UUGAACAUCACAGAUACCAAAACUGGAACAAUCCAGAAGAUACACAACAUGGCCCCGGCACAAGGGUGACAGGCAAUAUCAUGAAGGAUUCCAUGUUUUC
Small nuclear RNA from Cricetulus griseus (Chinese hamster), 100 nucleotides. Lineage: Eukaryota; Metazoa; Chordata; Mammalia; Rodentia; Cricetidae. The record is from Ensembl.